GACCUAGAAAUACUUUGUGGCUUGUGUUGGAGAUCGAUGCGACACGGCCGCGCCUAAUCCCGUCGCUCUUUUUCGCUCGCUCCCAGGUAAUGACGGACUUGCUUGGGAGAGUUCUGGACUCCAAAUUUCCUGCACAUAACUCAGAUGAUGGUUCAGUAGCUAGAGAAUCCAAAGCUGCUAAUUCAGACCAGACUGUUCACCAUCGGUGUUUCAAGGCCUCUUCAGAUCCAUUUUUUCGGUUUUCGAACGACACUCCAACACGGGUUCAGUUGAAAACAAGUCUAGCAAUUCCAGAAGCCAUGGCUGGGUGACAAGCCUGAAUAAGGUCAUGACUAGUGGGCCGAUGAGGAGACUUCAAGAGUGUAUACUAUGGACAAGCACGGCGGACACUUUGAGGUCAACCAGUGAUAUAUGGUUUCUUGGAAAAUGUUAUAAACUCUCACUUGAGGAGUCAUCACAUGGUUCUGAUGCUCCCAAUAGUUAUGAUGCUUUCCUAGAAGAUUUCUUAUCAAGAAUUUGGAUAACAUACCGGAAAGGUUUUGACCCCAUUGGUGAUUCAAAGUUCACAUGUGAUGUCAACUGGGGAUGUAUGAUCAGAAGUAGCCAGAUGCUUGUCGCUCAGGCAUUGAUCUUUCAUCAUCUAGGGAGAUCUUGGAGGAUGCGCUUGCAGAAGCCACAUGAUCCUGGGUAUAUUGAAAUUCUUCAUCUUUUUGGUGACUCGGAGGCAUGUGCUUUUUCAGUGCACAAUCUGCUUCAAGCUGGGAGGUGUUAUGGUUUGGCUGCUGGAUCAUGGUUGGGUCCUUAUGCUAUGUGUCGAACAUGGGAAACCCUUGCUCAUGCUAACAAAGAGCAAAUUGAAAGUGAUAAAUGCAAAGAAAGCUUGCCCAUGGUUCUAUAUACUGUUUCAGGUGAUGAAGAUGGGGAGAGAGGUGGAGCUCCAGUUAUCUGUAUUGAGAUUGCUGCCAGACUAUGUUAUGAUUUUAAAAAGGGGCAAUUGAACUGGGCACCUAUUCUGUUGUUGGUUCCUUUGGUACUUGGACUAGAAAAGAUCAACCCCAGGUACAUUCCUUUGUUGUGGGAAACAUUUACAUUUCCACAAAGCCUGGGCAUUUUAGGUGGAAGACCUGGGGCCUCUACCUAUAUUGUUGGCAUACAGGACAACAAGGCACUGUACUUGGAUCCUCAUGAAGUCCAACCGGCUGUUGAUAUCAAGAGGGAUGAUUUGGAAGCUGAUAGUUCUUCAUAUCACUGCAGCACUGUGCGUCAUGUGCCACUUGACAUGAUCGACCCAACGUUGGCCAUUGGGUUCUAUUGCAGAGAUAAAGAUGAUUUCGAAGACUUUUGUUCCCGUGCUUCUAAGCUUGCAGACAAGUCAAACGGGGCACCACUCUUUACUGUUGCCCAGAAUCUUCAGCCCGCAAAGCCAGUUCCUUACGAUGAUCUUUUGGCAGUUGAUACCUUUACUGACACUGAUGAUCCCGUCCAUGAUGAUGAAUGGCAGAUUUUAUGAAGGCCAUGUCUUAAUGCCAUCUGAAAUAUUAAGUUUUAUCGUCUUAGGGCAGGCACCAACCUAACCUGGACAUCAUAUGUUUAGAGGAGCCAGAGUGUGCUGGAUUUCUUUUCUUUCACUUAUUCUUUCUGAUUUAUUGUCAAGAUCCUUGUACAUGUAAAAGAAAGAUAUAAUCCCAUAACUCAAUAAUGGAUGAUAACUUCCACAUGAGUUCCCAA
Molecule: non-coding RNA, 1728 nt
Organism: Musa acuminata subsp. malaccensis (wild Malaysian banana)
Lineage: Eukaryota; Viridiplantae; Streptophyta; Magnoliopsida; Zingiberales; Musaceae
Source: RefSeq, a predicted model, not a curated record